UACGAAGGGUGCAAGCGUUACUCGGAAUUACUGGGCGUAAAGCGUGCGUAGGUGGUUUGUUAAGUCCGAUGUGAAAGCCCUGGGCUCAACCUGGGAAUGGCAUUGGAUACUGGCAGGCUAGAGUGCGGUAGAGGGCAGUGGAAUUCCCGGUGUAGCAGUGAAAUGCGUAGAGAUCAGGAGGAACAUCUGUGGCGAAGGCGACUGCCUGGACCAGCACUGACACUGAGGCACGAAAGCGUGGGGAGCAAACAGG
This 253-nucleotide ribosomal RNA is filed under the name uncultured bacterium. Its description in RNAcentral is "partial 16S ribosomal RNA". It matches the Rfam family "Bacterial small subunit ribosomal RNA", at positions 524 to 776 of the family's 1533-position model. The record is from RNAcentral.